AGUUUAGCUAAUGUUGCCCGUACCGUAAACCGACACAGGUGGGUGGGAUGAGUAUUCUAAGGCGCGUGGAAGAACUCUCUUUAAGGAACUCUGCAAAAUAGCACCGUAUCUUCGGUAUAAGGUGUGGUUCGCUUCGUAUUAGGAUUUACUCCGAAAGCGAAGAAACUUACAACAAAGAGUCCCUCCCGACUGUUUACCAAAAACACAGCACUCUGCUAACUCGUAAGAGGAUGUAUAGGGUGUGACGCCUGCCCGGUGCUCGAAGGUUAAUUGAUGGGGUUAGCAUUAGCGAAGCUCUUGAUCGAAGCCCGAGUAAACGGCGGCCGUAACUAUAACGGUCCUAAGGUAGCGAAAUUCCUUGUCGGUUAAAUACCGACCUGCAUGAAUGGCGUAACGAGAUGGGAGCUGUCUCAAAGAGGGAUCCAGUGAAAUUGUAGUGGAGGUGAAAAUUCCUCCUACCCGCGGCAAGACGGAAAGACCCCGUGGACCUUUACUACAGCUUGACACUGCUAUUUGGAUAAGAAUGUGCAGGAUAGGUGGGAGGCUUUGAGUAUAUGACGCUAGUUGUAUAUGAGCCAUUGUUGAGAUACCACUCUUUCUUAUUUGGGUAGCUAACCAGCUUGAGUUAUCCUCAAGUGGGACAAUGUCUGGUGGGUAGUUUGACUGGGGCGGUCGCCUCCCAAAUAAUAACGGAGGCUUACAAAGGUUGGCUCAGAACGGUUGGAAAUCGUUCGUAGAGUAUAAAGGUAUAAGCCAGCUUAACUGCAAGACAUACAAGUCAAGCAGAGACGAAAGUCGGUCUUAGUGAUCCGGUGGUUCUGUGUGGAAGGGCCAUCGCUCAAAGGAUAAAAGGUACCCCGGGGAUAACAGGCUGAUCUCCCCCAAGAGCUCACAUCGACGGGGAGGUUUGGCACCUCGAUGUCGGCUCAUCGCAUCCUGGGGCUGGAGCAGGUCCCAAGGGUAUGGCUGUUCGCCAUUUAAAGCGGUACGCGAGCUGGGUUCAGAACGUCGUGAGACAGUUCGGUCCCUAUCUGCCGUGGGCGUAAGAAGAUUGAAGAGAUUUGACCCUAGUACGAGAGGACCGGGUUGAACAAACCACUGGUGUAGCUGUUGUUCUGCCAAGAGCAUCGCAGCGUAGCUAAGUUUGGAAAGGAUAAACGCUGAAAGCAUCUAAGCGUGAAGCCAACUCUAAGAUGAAUCUUCUCUAAGCUCUCUAGAAGACUACUAGUUUGAUAGGCUGGGUGUGUAAUGGAUGAAAGUCCUUUAGCUGACCAGUACUAAUAGAGCGUUUGGCUUAUCUUU
Molecule: ribosomal RNA, 1302 nt
Filed under: Campylobacter coli
Lineage: Bacteria; Pseudomonadati; Campylobacterota; Epsilonproteobacteria; Campylobacterales; Campylobacteraceae
Description: partial 23S ribosomal RNA
Rfam family: Bacterial large subunit ribosomal RNA
Source: RNAcentral